UGAGGAAUAUUGGGUCAAUGGCCGGAAGGCUGAACCAGCCAAGCCGCGUGAAGGACGAAGGUGCCAAGCAUUGUAAACUUCUUUUGUCAAGGGACAAAAUCAGGCUCGAGAGCCUGACCGAGGGUACUUGAAGAAAAAGCAUCGGCUAACUCCGUGCC
RNAcentral lists this ribosomal RNA (158 nucleotides) under uncultured bacterium. RNAcentral's name for it is "partial 16S ribosomal RNA". It matches the Rfam family "Bacterial small subunit ribosomal RNA", at positions 355 to 509 of the family's 1533-position model. The record is from RNAcentral.